AUAUUAAAGUUGUUGCAGUUAAAAAGCUCGUAGUUGGAUUUCUGUUAAUAAUUUAUAUAAAAUAUUUUGAUGAAUAUUUAUAUAAUAUUAACAUAAUUCAUAUUACUAUUUUUUUUUUUAGUAUAUGAAAUUUUACUUUGAGAAAAUUAGAGUGCUUAAAGCAGGCAUAUGCCUUGAAUACUCCAGCAUGGAAUAAUAUUAAAGAUUUUUAUCUUUUUUAUUGGUUCUAAGAUAAGAAUAAUGAUUAAUAGGGACAGUUGGGGGCAUUUGUAUUUAACAGUCAGAGGUGAAAUUCUUAGAUUUGUUAAAGACAAACUAAUGCGAAAGCAUUUGCCAAGGAUGUUUUCAUUAAUCAAGAACGAAAGUUAGGGGAUCGAAGACGAUCAGAUACCGUCGUAGUCUUAACCAUAAAC
This 413-nucleotide ribosomal RNA is filed under the name Cryptosporidium hominis. Its description in RNAcentral is "partial 18S ribosomal RNA". It matches the Rfam family "Eukaryotic small subunit ribosomal RNA", at positions 601 to 1037 of the family's 1831-position model. Lineage: Eukaryota; Apicomplexa; Conoidasida; Eucoccidiorida; Cryptosporidiidae. The record is from RNAcentral.